UACGGGGGGGGCAAGCGUUGUUCGGAAUUACUGGGCGUAAAGGGCUCGUAGGCGGCCAACUAAGUCGGACGUGAAAUCCCCAGGCUUAACUUGGGAACUGCGUCCGAUACUGGAUGGCUUGAAUCCGGGAGAGGGAUGCGGAAUUCCAGGUGUAGCGGGGAAAUGCGUAGAUAUCUGGAGGAACACCGGUGGCGAAGGCGGCAUCCUGGACCGGUAUUGACGCUGAGUGAGCGAAAGCCAGGGGAGCAAACGGG
This 254-nucleotide ribosomal RNA is filed under the name uncultured bacterium. RNAcentral describes it as "partial 16S ribosomal RNA". It matches the Rfam family "Bacterial small subunit ribosomal RNA", at positions 524 to 776 of the family's 1533-position model. The record is from RNAcentral.